This 323-nucleotide long non-coding RNA is filed under the name Mytilus galloprovincialis (Mediterranean mussel). The record is from RNAcentral. Lineage: Eukaryota; Metazoa; Mollusca; Bivalvia; Mytilida; Mytilidae.
CACAGUGUGGGAACGGAACUGUACGGUGUUUUAAUAUUUUGGUCAUUCGGGAGACUGUCAAGCGGUGCUCCGACAUUCGAAAAACAACAAGUUGAGGAAUGUAAGUUUUGAUUAACGCAAACGUUACAAUAUUAAGUUUCUGUUUAAAGAUUUGGUAACGAAAACAUUCUACACAUAUAUAUAGACCAAUCAAAUGAUGUAAGCGACAUAUACAGCCAGACGUUUUCUAUUAAACGGUUGAGCUCCGAGUAAAUCGCUCAAAAUUCUUCAUCAACAGCGAAUAAAAUUUUAAAAAAAAAUCAAAAGGAUAUUCAUAGCUACAC